CCUACGGGGGGCAGCAGUGGGGGAUAUUGCACAAUGGGGGGAACCCUGAUGCAGCGACGCCGCGUGGGUGAAGAAGCGCCUCGGCGCGUAAAGCCCUGUCAGCAGGGAAGAAAAUGACGGUACCUGAAGAAGAAGCCCCGGCUAACUACGUGCCAGCAGCCGCGGUAAUACGUAGGGGGCAAGCGUUAUCCGGAUUUACUGGGUGUAAGGGGGGCGCAGACGGCUGUGCAAGCCAGGAGUGAAAGCCGGGGGCCCAACCCCGGGACUGCGCCUGGAACUGGGUGGCUGGAGUGCAGGAGGGGCAGGCGGAAUUCCUGGUGUAGCGGUGAAAUGCGUAGAUAUCAGGAGGAACACCGGUGGCGAAGGCGGCCUGCUGGACUGCAACUGACGUUGAGGCCCGAAAGCGUGGGGAGCAAACAGGAUUAGAUACCCGGGUAGUC
RNAcentral lists this ribosomal RNA (440 nucleotides) under uncultured bacterium. RNAcentral's name for it is "partial 16S ribosomal RNA". It matches the Rfam family "Bacterial small subunit ribosomal RNA", at positions 338 to 795 of the family's 1533-position model. The record is from RNAcentral.